CAGGGUGACAGGUGGUGCAUGGUUGUCGUCAGCUCGUGUCGUGAGAUGUUGGGUUAAGUCCCGCAACGAGCGCAACCCUCGACCUUAGUUGCCAGCAUUCAGUUGGGCACUCUAAGGUGACUGCCGGCUAAAAGUCGGAGGAAGGUGGGGAUGACGUCAAAUCAUCAUGCCCCUUAUGACCUGGGCUACACACGUGCUACAAUGGGCGGUACAAAGGGUCGCGAACUCGCGAGGGGGAGCCAAUCCCAAAAAGCCGCUCUCAGUUCGGAUUGCAGGCUGCAACUCGCCUGCAUGAAGCCGGAAUCGCUAGUAAUCGCGGAUCAGCAUGCCGCGGUGAAUACGUUCCCGGGCCUU
Molecule: ribosomal RNA, 354 nt
Filed under: uncultured Anoxybacillus sp.
Lineage: Bacteria; Bacillati; Bacillota; Bacilli; Caryophanales; Anoxybacillaceae
Description: bacterial SSU rRNA
Rfam family: Bacterial small subunit ribosomal RNA
Source: RNAcentral